AAUCAACGCUGGCGGCGUGCCUAACACAUGCAAGUCGCACGAGAAAGUGGAGCAAUCCAUGAGUAAAGUGGCGCACGGGUGAGUAACACGUGACUAACCUACCCUCGAGUGGGGAAUAACUUCGGGAAACCGAGGCUAAUACCGCAUAACACUUACGAGUCAAAGCAGCAAUGCGCUUGAGGAGGGGGUCGCGGCAGAUUAGCUAGUUGGUGGGGUAAUGGCCUACCAAGGCGAUGAUCUGUAUCCGGCCUGAGAGGGCGCACGGACACACUGGAACUGAAACACGGUCCAGACUCCUACGGGAGGCAGCAGUGGGGAAUUUUGCGCAAUGGGGGAAACCCUGACGCAGCAACGCCGCGUGGAGGAUGAAAUCCCUUGGGAUGUAAACUCCUUUCGAUCGGGACGAUUAUGACGGUACCGGAAGAAGAAGCCCCGGCUAACUUCGUGCCAGCAGCCGC
Molecule: ribosomal RNA, 458 nt
Filed under: uncultured bacterium
Lineage: Bacteria
Description: bacterial SSU rRNA
Rfam family: Bacterial small subunit ribosomal RNA
Source: RNAcentral